Rana temporaria (common frog) is the source of this 843-nucleotide long non-coding RNA. RefSeq lists it as uncharacterized. NCBI's taxonomy places the organism in Eukaryota, Metazoa, Chordata, Amphibia, Anura, Ranidae. The transcript is spliced from 2 exons. The record is from RefSeq and is a predicted model, not a curated record.
GUUAUUUUUCCCCUCUAGCGUCUUUGAGCGUCACGCUUCAGGCGACAAAACGCUCAGGUGUGAAUGCAGCCUUAGGGCAGUGGUUCCCAACUCCUGUUCUCAGGACCCACCAACAGGCCAGACUUUAAGUAUUACCUUGGGAGAUGCAGACUAGAAUACUGCGAUCGCUGAGCUGCAAAUUCUAUCACCUGUGAUUUAUUUGAGUUAUGUUGCAAACCUGACCUGUUUGUGGGCCCUGAGGAUGGAAGUUGAGUACCACUGAUUUUGGUCAUGGGUGCUCAACAUGUGACCCUCUAGCUCAUACCGUAGUUUGAGGAUCCCUGCUCUAGCUAUUGCAGAAUUACAAGUCACAUGAGGCAUUGCAAGGCUGACCGUUACAAGCAUGACUCCCAAAGGCAGAGACAUGAUGGGACUUUUAGUUUCGCAACAGCUGGAAGGCCACACGUUGAGCACCCCUGAUUUAGGAUGUUCUCAUUUUGAUGUUCAGUAUUCUCAUGCAGUUCCGCAAUGGGCCUGUAGGUGGGGCUUUUACUGUAAGCUAAGGCCUAAUUUACACAGGUAUGCCAUUAUAAAUUUAUAGGACAUCUCUAAAUGCUUAUAAAUGUAUAGAAUUAUUUUAAAUGGUAUAUUUCACUUUGUGCAUUUACCUUUGUUUGGACACGUUCAGGUUUUUUUGUGUGCGAAAUUCUCUUCGUAGAUACUUUGAACGUGGUUAAACACAUGUACAUUUAAAUGCAGGAGAACAUAAUUUGGCAAGUAUAAAAUAUAAUUAUACGUCCUAGACUAUGUUUUCCUGUCUUUAAAUAAAACAAGUGCAGGAGGCUCAUAUGAAUGAAAGUUAAA